GACGGAGGGUGCUAGCGUUGUUCGGAAUUACUGGGCGUAAAGGGCGCGUAGGCGGCCUGGUCAGUCGGAUGUGAAAGCCCGGGGCUCAACCCCGGAACGGCAUCCGAGACGGCCAGGCUGGAGACCGGGAGAGGAGAGUGGAAUAGCCAGUGUAGAGGUGAAAUUCGUAGAUAUUGGCUGGAACACCGGUGGCGAAAGCGGCUCUCUGGCCCGGUUCUGACGCUGAGGCGCGAAAGCUAGGGGAGCGAAUGGG
Molecule: ribosomal RNA, 253 nt
Filed under: uncultured bacterium
Lineage: Bacteria
Description: partial 16S ribosomal RNA
Rfam family: Bacterial small subunit ribosomal RNA
Source: RNAcentral